CACAGCGAUGAUGUGCCUACAGACCUGUAAUGAUUUUUGCGGAGAUGAUCGCAUAAUCAAAGAACAUCUAAGGGACUGAGUUAUU
This 85-nucleotide small nucleolar RNA is filed under the name Ananas comosus (pineapple). RNAcentral describes it as "Small nucleolar RNA SNORD25". It matches the Rfam family "Small nucleolar RNA SNORD25". From Rfam's summary of the family: U25 is a member of the C/D class of snoRNA which contain the C (UGAUGA) and D (CUGA) box motifs. U25 is found in gene clusters in plants, and within the U22 snoRNA host gene (UHG) in mammals. The record is from Rfam by way of RNAcentral. Lineage: Eukaryota; Viridiplantae; Streptophyta; Magnoliopsida; Poales; Bromeliaceae.